GCGGGUGUAGCUCAAUGGUAGAGCAUAAGCUUCCCAAGCUUGUUACGAGGGUCCGAUUCCCUUCACCCGCUCCA
RNAcentral lists this transfer RNA (74 nucleotides) under Alphaproteobacteria bacterium. RNAcentral's name for it is "tRNA-Gly". It matches the Rfam family "tRNA". From Rfam's summary of the family: Transfer RNA (tRNA) molecules are approximately 80 nucleotides in length. RNAcentral also lists the same sequence under 1 other name. The record is from RNAcentral. Lineage: Bacteria; Pseudomonadati; Pseudomonadota; Alphaproteobacteria.